AACGAACGCUGGCGGCAUGCCUAACACAUGCAAGUAGAACGAGACCUUCGGGUCUAGUGGCGCACGGGUGCGUAACGCGUGGGAACCUGCCCUUAGGUUCGGAAUAACUCCCCGAAAGGUAUCCUAAUACCGGAUAAUGUCUUCGGACCAAAGAUUUAUCGCCUUUGGAUGGGCCCGCGUUGGAUUAGCUAGUUGGUAGGGUAAAAGCCUACCAAGGCGACGAUCCAUAGCUGGUCUGAGAGGAUGAUCAGCCACACUGGGACUGAGACACGGCCCAGACUCCUACGGGAGGCAGCAGUGGGGAAUAUUGGACGAUGGGCGAAAGCCUGAUCCAGCAAUGCCGCGUGAGUGAUGAAGGCCUUAGGGUUGUAAAGCUCUUUUACCCGGGAUGAUAAUGACAGUACCGGGAGAAUAAGCUCCGGCUAACUCCGUG
Molecule: ribosomal RNA, 433 nt
Filed under: uncultured bacterium
Lineage: Bacteria
Description: partial 16S ribosomal RNA
Rfam family: Bacterial small subunit ribosomal RNA
Source: RNAcentral